Molecule: ribosomal RNA, 541 nt
Filed under: Kodamaea ohmeri
Lineage: Eukaryota; Fungi; Ascomycota; Pichiomycetes; Serinales; Debaryomycetaceae
Description: partial large subunit ribosomal RNA
Rfam family: Eukaryotic large subunit ribosomal RNA
Source: RNAcentral
UGCAUAUUCCCAUUACGGAGGAAAAGAAACCAACAGGGAUUGCCUCAGUAACGGCGAGUGAAGCGGCAAAAGCUCAAAUUUGAAAUCCCCCCGGGGAGUUGUAAUUUGAAGAUUGCGUCUUGGAGGCGACCGUGUCUAUGUUCCUUGGAACAGGACGUCACAGAGGGUGAGAAUCCCGUGCGGCACGGCCCCCGGCUCCUUAUAAGGCGCUCUCGACGAGUCGAGUUGUUUGGGAAUGCAGCUCAAAGUGGGUGGUAAAUUCCAUCUAAAGCUAAAUACAGGCGAGAGACCGAUAGCGAACAAGUACAGUGAUGGAAAGAUGAAAAGCACUUUGAAAAGAGAGUGAAACAGCACGUGAAAUUGUUGAAAGGGAAGGGCAUGCCGUCAGAUUGUCAGUGUGGGUAAGAAGCGGGGUACAAAGACUGUGGAACGUGGCCCUCGGGUGUUAUAGCCGCAGUUCAUGCCCCGUCUCUUUCCGAGGCCUGCUUUGAGGACACCGACGUAAUGACGGUACGCCGCCCGUCUUGAACCACCGGACCAA